ACGAACGCUGGCGGCGUGCCUAAUACAUGCAAGUCGAGCGGAAUGAUGAAGAAGCUUGCUUCUUCUGAUUUUAGCGGCGGACGGGUGAGUAUCACGUGGGCAACCUACCUUGUAGAUUGGGAUAACUCCGGGAAACCGGGGCUAAUACCGAAUAAUCCAUUUUGCUUCAUGGCGAGAUGUUGAAAGACGGUUUCGGCUGUCACUACAAGAUGGGCCCGCGGCGCAUUAGCUAGUUGGUAGGGUAAUGGCCUACCAAGGCGACGAUGCGUAGCCGACCUGAGAGGGUGAUCGGCCACACUGGGACUGAGACACGGCCCAGACUCCUACGGGAGGCAGCAGUAGGGAAUCUUCCACAAUGGACGAAAGUCUGAUGGAGCAACGCCGCGUGAGUGAAGAAGGUUUUCGGAUCGUAAAACUCUGUUGUAAGGGAAGAACACGUACGAGAGUAACUGCUCGUACCUUGACGGUACCUUAUUAGAAAGCCACGGCUAACUACGUG
RNAcentral lists this ribosomal RNA (499 nucleotides) under uncultured bacterium. RNAcentral describes it as "bacterial SSU rRNA". It matches the Rfam family "Bacterial small subunit ribosomal RNA", at positions 29 to 507 of the family's 1533-position model. The record is from RNAcentral.